This is a non-coding RNA of Picea glauca (white spruce), 123 nucleotides long. The record is from Rfam. NCBI's taxonomy places the organism in Eukaryota, Viridiplantae, Streptophyta, Pinopsida, Pinales, Pinaceae.
AUGUACAUUCCUACAACAUAGCAUUAAUGCACCAGAUCCCAUUAGAACUCCGUAGUUAAGCAUGCUUGGGCUAUAUUAGUACUAGGAUGGGUGACCACCCAAGAAAUCCUAGUGUUUUACAUG